UCACUAAACUUGUUACUGCCUGUCUACUA
This 29-nucleotide non-coding RNA is filed under the name Bombyx mori (domestic silkworm). The record is from RNAcentral. Lineage: Eukaryota; Metazoa; Arthropoda; Insecta; Lepidoptera; Bombycidae.